UGCCCCAUGGCUUAGUUGGCUAUAGCGUCCGACUGUUAUCGUUUAACGAGGCGAUCGGAAGGUCGAGAGUUCAAGCCUCUCUGGGGCAG
This is a non-coding RNA of Sphaerobolus stellatus SS14, 89 nucleotides long. The record is from Rfam. NCBI's taxonomy places the organism in Eukaryota, Fungi, Basidiomycota, Agaricomycetes, Geastrales, Sphaerobolaceae.